AUUGUCACUGUUUAUGAAAACACAUCACUAUAUUAGUAAUGUAACAAUUUUAUAUGAAAAAGGUUUCAAUGUCGCACAGUACCAUCUUGUUGAGACAUACAAAUUCUUAAAAAGUUUUUAUUUUAAAAUCCUCUAAUCUUAGAUAAUAUAGAUAGAGUGUCUUCAUACAAAUGCUUUGAGAAAAGCGAGUCAACUUUUUCAUACAAUUUUGCGUAAUAAAUAGUUAUGAGUGAUUCCUUUAUAACUUCUAUAUUUAUUUUGUUUUAUAAUUUUGACAUAUUAUUAAUGCGUUAAAACUAAUUUUAUUUACUAAAUAAUUAAUUAUAGCAAGGUACAUAACAUGCGUAAGUAUAUAGAACAAUAAUAAAAAAACGAGUCAGCUAAUUUGACUAUUAGCUGACAAAAAGUUGAUCUGUUUUUGAGGCUCAAUGUUCUAUCAAUAUCAUUUAAGCCUCUAAUAAUGUCUGUUCUUUUAAAGUCACUGCAAAUUUCUAUUAAAGCCACUGUAAAUUUAAAAUACCUAGUUUUGUGAUUUCUAAAGGGUUCCUAUGAAUAGAAAAUUAAUCAUAUUUAAAAAUUAUUUCAUUAAUUUUUAAAUAGAAAAAUUGGAAACGAAACCCACUGAGUUAAAUUGAAAGAUUGAACUUAAGCUUUAAUUAUUAUGCUAUAAUAUAAAAAGAGGCGGACAUGACGAAAUUAUAAAGAUUUUGUAUUUGCUAUUUCAUUAAAAUCCUAAAAAUAUAUACAAAGAUAUCACACAUACAGAGCAUAGCAAAAAAAAUUACCAGUGAGAUAAACAUUAUUUCAUAAACCUAUUUUAUGUUUAAAAAUGUGAUAAGAUUAAAGUUCUACGAAAUUGUAUAUUUUCGUAACAAAGCUCGUAUAAAGAAACUAUAGCAAUAAAAGUUAUCCAGUAAUGUAAUUUAACAACUGAAUAAUAAAAAGCAAAAUUGGACCUACUUGCAGUCAGUGUACCACUGAACUAAUACAAAGUGUGGUCAAUGAGACGUCAAUAAAAAUAAUAAGAGAUAUAUAUUUGAAUAAGCAAAAUGUGUGUAUGUAACAAAGUUGAUUCAUUGUACAUAUGUCUUGAAGAACAAUAGUAAGAUGAGACCAAACAUUAGAGUCAAUGUCAUCUGGAUUAUACUGGAUAUAAGAGACGUAUGAAGUGAGGACACAUGACAUACUGAAUUCAAAGUGGCCUGUUAUGUAAUCCUAUAAAAUCAAUAUCUGUGAUUCACAUUGCACCAUUAAUUUACCCACUGCUAAACAAUAGACUUUCAUUGUGGAAUAACUUUAUAAAAUAUACUUUAAAUAUACACUAUAGUUUAUACUUACACAUUGGUAUGGAGUGCAAAGUCCC
Molecule: long non-coding RNA, 1363 nt
Organism: Galleria mellonella (greater wax moth)
Lineage: Eukaryota; Metazoa; Arthropoda; Insecta; Lepidoptera; Pyralidae
Exons: 3
Source: RefSeq, a predicted model, not a curated record